RNAcentral lists this ribosomal RNA (581 nucleotides) under uncultured bacterium. Its description in RNAcentral is "bacterial SSU rRNA". It matches the Rfam family "Bacterial small subunit ribosomal RNA", at positions 36 to 649 of the family's 1533-position model. The record is from RNAcentral.
CUGGCGGCGUGCCUAACACAUGCAAGUCGAACGAGAAAGUGGAGCAAUCCAUGAGUAAAGUGGCGACCGGGUGAGUAACACGUGACUAACCUGCCUUCGAGUGGGGGAUAACCUCGGGAAACCGGGGCUAAUACCGCAUAAUGCCUACGGGUUAAAGGAGCAAUUCGCUUGAAGAGGGGGUCGCGGCUGAUUAGCUAGUUGGCGGGGUAACGGCCCACCAAGGCGAUGAUCGGUAGCCGGCCUGAGAGGGCGCACGGCCACACUGGAACUGAAACACGGUCCAGACUCCUACGGGAGGCAGCAGUGGGGAAUUUUGCGCAAUGGGGGAAACCCUGACGCAGCAACGCCGCGUGGAGGAUGAAGUCCUUUGGGACGUAAACUCCUUUCGACCGGGACGAUUAUGACGGUACCGGUGGAAGAAGCCCCGGCUAACUUCGUGCCAGCAGCCGCGGUAAUACGAGGGGGGCAAGCGUUGUUCGGAAUUAUUGGGCGUAAAGGGCGCGUAGGCGGUGCGGUAAGUCACCUGUGAAACCUCUGGGCUUAACUCAAAGCCUGCAGGCGAAACUGCCGUGCUGGAGUGU